UGUUAAGCAGAGAUCAAAGAGUAGAAUGAAGGAAGAAAAAGAAUAUGGGGAUCUGAAAAACCCAUCUAAGAAUUAGCCUCUGAACAAUGAAAUCAACAAUCACGUCUGUAAGGUAAAAUCUGCCUAGAGAAGGCUGAGAUGGAGAAAGUAUCCUAAACCCUGGGGAUCAAAUGACUGACCUGCAGGGAACUCAGAAAGGAGCCCCCAGAAUCGAGACCCCUAAAGACAAAGGCGGCGCGGAAACUACGGAGACUCGAAAUUAAAGACCCUUCCUGAAAAAGAGGAAACGAGAAAAAAGAGGAGCGAGGCGGACAGAUUUCAGAUUACGUGUAAAUGGAAGCAGGGACUAAGUUUUCGAAUCUACCACAAGCCUCAUACCGUUUUCUCACGCAAUCCUGAC
Molecule: long non-coding RNA, 400 nt
Organism: Balaenoptera ricei (Rice's whale)
Lineage: Eukaryota; Metazoa; Chordata; Mammalia; Artiodactyla; Balaenopteridae
Exons: 3
Source: RefSeq, a predicted model, not a curated record